AGCGGCGGACGGGUGAGUAACGCGUGGGUAACCUGCCUCAUACAGGGGGAUAACAGUUAGAAAUGACUGCUAAUACCGCAUAAGACCACGGUACCGCAUGGUACAGUGGUAAAAACUCCGGUGGUAUGAGAUGGACCCGCGUCUGAUUAGCUGGUUGGCGGGGUAACGGCCCACCAAGGCGACGAUCAGUAGCCGACCUGAGAGGGUGACCGGCCACAUUGGGACUGAGACACGGCCCAG
RNAcentral lists this ribosomal RNA (240 nucleotides) under uncultured bacterium. Its description in RNAcentral is "partial 16S ribosomal RNA". It matches the Rfam family "Bacterial small subunit ribosomal RNA", at positions 94 to 334 of the family's 1533-position model. The record is from RNAcentral.